Long non-coding RNA from Molossus molossus (Pallas's mastiff bat), 524 nucleotides. RefSeq lists it as uncharacterized. The record is from RefSeq and is a predicted model, not a curated record. Lineage: Eukaryota; Metazoa; Chordata; Mammalia; Chiroptera; Molossidae. The transcript has 3 exons.
UUCAUGCCUGAUGACAACCUUCCUUCCUGCUCAGGAUCCUGUCUCCGACCCCCGGUAGACACCCAGUCCUUCCGGAGUCCGCAGGUGCGUGGGGCGGUCCAACUCCAGCGAUGUCAACAAGCCAAGGGGAGUGCUUGCAAUCGGCCUCGCGAGGCAGGCGUGGAGAGCCACAUCCAGCCAGAUUAUCACAGGCUAAAUAGACCCAUCCAGCUGGCCCCAGGAAAGAAUGCACACAGCAACCUUUGCUGGCUGACGGUUCAUCAGUUUACCCUCCAGAAACUGUUGAAGCGCAGACUCCACAGGCUCUUCUCUCCUCGCUGUAAACCCUGCUCAGGCCUUUGUCCCUGGGCUUGGACUCCAUGUGGUGGCUGACUCCCUCCCUGUGUCGUGAUGUGUUACGUGCCCUUGUUACAAGGACGACAUUUCAGCUCCCUAAGCUGACUCCAGGGUCGCAUCAGGAUGCCAAGACUUAAAUGCACGGUCCUUUGUCACUGUUUCAGACUCAGCCAAGCAGAUGGAGGGAC